GGAAAAUCUAAAGGAGAUGAAAAGGAUGUUUCCACAACUAACACACAGAAACAUCUCAGAACAACUCUGCAACCAGCCUACAGAGCGUGCACAAGCUGCAGAACCUUGGUGUCUUCAACUGGUGUCCAGAUUAAACUAAAGUUAAAAGGAUGAUUAUGUAGAGUUCUUCAGAACUGGGUUGUACUUACUCACUUUAGCUAGGAUUCAUGCAGAACUUCAUAAUUAAACUGUAUGCUAAACUUGAAGUCCAAAAUGAAAGGAAUAAGGAAAAAUAUGACAAGCAAAAAAGCUACCAAUUUUUACUUCUGUGGCUCUCAGGCUGUCUUGGGCUUGUGUCUUCUCUUAGCUUGCUAUUGAAUCACAGAAUCACACAGAAUCACAGACUUGCAGACAUUGGAAGGGACUUCAAGUGGUCAUCAAGUCCAUCUCUCCCGCUAAAGCAGCUUCCCUACAAUAUGUCACACAGGUGGGUGACCAAAUGGAUCUUGAAUAUCUCUACUGAAGGGGACUCCACAACCUCCCUGGGCAACCUUUUCCAGAGCUCCAUCACCCUUUCGAAAAGAAGUUCUUCAGUGUGCUAGUAUGGAAUUUCCUAUGUACAAGUUUCAGGCCAUCUCUCCUUGUCCUAUCCCUAUGCAUCACCAAGAAGAGCCUGGCCUCAUCCAUUUGCCUCCCACCUCCCUUUAGAUAUGUAUAAAUGUUUGUCAAAUGUCCCCUCAGUCUUCUCUUCCCUGGGCUGUACAGGCUCAGGUCACUCCGCCUUUCUUCAUAUGGGAGAUGCUCCAGGCCCCUUAUCAUCUUUGUGGCCCUCCUCUGGACUCUCUCUAGGAGAUCCCUUUCUUUUUUGAGCUGAGGAGCCCAGAACUGGACACUGAAGCAUAAAUUAGGAAUGGAAAAUCAGUUAGAAAUAUAAAUGUAUAGAUUUAUUAUCAGUGUGAGCAUUUAAUUUGUUAGUAAAGACAAUUCUUUUUCCCAACCCUCCUUUGUAUAUUAUGCUCUGGUUUGGGGAUUUUUUUUUUUUUUGGUGGGUGGUUUUGUGGGUUUUUUUUCUUUUUU
Molecule: long non-coding RNA, 1056 nt
Organism: Numida meleagris (helmeted guineafowl)
Lineage: Eukaryota; Metazoa; Chordata; Aves; Galliformes; Numididae
Source: Ensembl